This 74-nucleotide transfer RNA is filed under the name Gossypium hirsutum (cotton). It matches the Rfam family "tRNA". Rfam says of the family: Transfer RNA (tRNA) molecules are approximately 80 nucleotides in length. Their secondary structure includes four short double-helical elements and three loops (D, anti-codon, and T loops). Lineage: Eukaryota; Viridiplantae; Streptophyta; Magnoliopsida; Malvales; Malvaceae. The record is from Rfam by way of RNAcentral. RNAcentral also lists the same sequence under 1 other name.
UCGCUCUUAGUUCAGUUCGGUAGAACAUGGGUCUCCAAAACCCAAUGUCGUAGGUUCAAAUCCUAUAGAGCGUG